UACGAAGGGGGCUAGCGUUGCUCGGAAUCACUGGCGUAAAGCGCACGUUAGGCGGCUUGUUAAGUCAGGGGUGAAAUCCUGGAGCUCAACUCCAGAACUGCCUUUGAUACUGGCGAGCUUGAGUCCGGGAGAGGUGAGUGGAACUCCGAGUGUAGAGGUGAAAUUCGAUAGAUAUUCGGAAGAACACCAGUGGCGAAGGCGGCUCACUGGCCCGGUACUGACGCUGAGGUGCGAAAGCGUGGGGAGCAAACAGGG
This 255-nucleotide ribosomal RNA is filed under the name uncultured bacterium. RNAcentral's name for it is "partial 16S ribosomal RNA". It matches the Rfam family "Bacterial small subunit ribosomal RNA", at positions 524 to 777 of the family's 1533-position model. The record is from RNAcentral.